Molecule: long non-coding RNA, 16798 nt
Organism: Ictalurus punctatus (channel catfish)
Lineage: Eukaryota; Metazoa; Chordata; Actinopteri; Siluriformes; Ictaluridae
Source: Ensembl
UGUGUGUGUGUGUGUGUGUGUGUGUAUAAUUUUUUUUUGUCAGCUCUGGAAUCACAAUCAAGAUAAAGAUGAAAGCAGAGUACUGAUUUUUUUUUUUUUUACAAAAUAAAAAAAACAAAACAAACAAAACCAAUUCGAUUUAUGCCUGAAAUGUUUCUUCAUUUUUUUUUUUGACUCAUUCUCACAGCCUGCUCCUGUCAGUCUCUAAACUGUAACCUUAUCUGGCACCUGCUAGCUGUGAACCGUGAUUUAUGCUAAGAGCUACCGAGCUCUUCCAUCUGUAAACGCACAUUGUUGCAGGGAAAACAGCCAUGACCGGGGCAGGAAAUGCAGUGAAUUCAUUUGCGUCUCCAGCCAUUGUGACAGAAAAGUGGAAAGAUUUGCCAUGAGGCAAAUCGCAGCCCUGCCAUUGUUCUUUGGCUCAAUAGAUGACAUGUUAUAUUAUCCAGUAUUUCGGUUUAACUGCCAACAGCAGGAAAGAAGAGGUCCUGUGCUUGUUUGCGUGUGUGUACACACUGUCGAUGCUCGUCUGCAGGGCUAUACAGGCCCAUAUCAAAGAAAACAGCGGAGUUAUUCAUGGCAGAUCUUUCUCAGGCUGGAAGGGCAUUGUUACCCAAGACAGCAUGUCGGAUUGCACAAAAAAAAAAGUUUUACAAGUUACAAUCGCAAUCUUGAUUCGUUUCUGUAGGUGGGGCUGUGGUUUAGCAUGGGUCAAUUGGAGGGAGGUGUUUGGGAACAAGCUAGAGAGGUAAUUGCUACACUGACACACCUGAGCCCUUGUGGGGGCUAUAAACAAUAUAAAACAAUAUUAAUAAAGCAGUACAACAAUAUUAUUUGUUUUGAAAGAGAUAAAGUUUUACGUUACAUUACUGACUGACUACCAUGUUAAGACUCUGAGCCAAAAACAUAAAGCUUGCAUGCACUCUUACCCUGGAUCUGCUGUGCUCUCAAAGUAGAACACCGCCGAGUUACAUACUAGAUACAACUUAUAGGUUCUCAGUGCAAUCUGACUCAAGAGCAGUGUUCAUUCUGUAUCAUCUGCACUCAGCCAACCAUCGCAGAAAACAGAGCAAUGACCAGACGCUGUAUAACAUGACCUCACAACUCACCUGAAGUGCGGCAACUCGGCAAGGCUACCAAAGAAAAAGGGGAGAACAACGUAAACAACGGAAAGCUAAGAGUGAAUUUUAAAACAACUCAACCACCCACUUGCAGUGAGAAGAAGAAAUAUUUAUGCACUGAAUAUUAAAUUCCCGAUUACUGAACAAACAGUGACUAAAUGUCUGAAAUAACUGAAUGUGGUAAGUGAGUCAUGGCUGCGUUUUGCUAGAAACAUCAAGCAUUUGUCAAAACCAAUUUUUCCUCACAAGUGGUUUAUUAGUGGAUAUUGGCGAAAGAUCAAAAACAACAACAAAUUAUUUCCCUAGCUGUUAACGCUGCUGGUUUCCUUUUAACUUUGGGAAGAUACAGUGCACCUGUGGCAAUUAUAUAUAUAUAUAUAUAUAUAUACACACACACACAUAUAUAAAUUCUGCUCUCUACCAGAAAAAUUCUGGUUUUCUCGAACAGAGUACAAUUCCCGUUUCCCUCAAUUAUUGUAAGUUGCUCAGGCCCUGAAGCAGCAAACUGCCACCACCAUGCUUGAGCGUAGGUAUGAUGUUCUUUUUGUGGGAUUCAGAGUUUGGUUUACGGCAGAUGUAACGGGACCGCUGUCUUCCAAACAGUUCCACUUUCAACUCGUCGAUCCACAGAACAUUCUCCCAAAAGUUUUGAGGAUCACCAAGGUGUCUUUUGCCAAAAUUCAGACAAGAGUUAAAGUUCUUCUGGGUUUGCAGUGGUUUUCACCUCACCACUCUUCCAUGGAUGCCAUUUUUGCCCAGUGUCUUUCUGAUAGUGGAGUCACGAACGUGACCUUUAUUGAUGCAGGAGAGGCCUGUAGGUGCUUUGAUGUUGUCCUUGGCUCUUUUUUGUCUUCCUGGAUGAGUCGUUGUGUGCUCUUGGAGGAAUUUUAGAAGGUCAGCCACUUCUGGGAAGGUUCACUACUGUACAGAGUUUUUUUCCAUUUGGAGAUAAUGGCUCUCACUGUGGUUCUUUGGAGUCCCAGAGCCUUUGAAAUAGCUUUGUAACCCUUCCCAGACUGAUGCAUCUCAAUCAUCUUCUUCCUCAUUAUUUCUGCAAUUUCUUUCAACUUUGGCAUAGUGUGUUACUGGGUAAGAUCUUUUAACCAACUUCAUAAAGUUCUAUUUAAGUGUUGAUUUGAUGGAACAGGGUUUGCAGUAAUCAGGCCUGGUUGCGUCUAGUCCAGCUGAACCCAUUAUGAAUGCAGAUUCAUAGAUUUGGGGAAUUAGUAACUAUGGGAGGAAAUACAUUUUCACACAGGCCCAGUUGGUAUUGCAUAACUUUUUUGUAUCAAUAAAUAACAUUAUCAUUUAAAAACUGUAUUUUGUGUUUACUCAAGUUGCCUUUGUGUUUUAUCGUAGAUUUUGUUUGCAUUUGUGAAACAAUUUAAUAUGAGACAUACACAAAAACAGAAGAAACCAGGAUUUGGGCAAAUACAUUUUUACAGAACCGUAUACUACGUAUUCGUAGUUUGUGUAAAUAAGAACUUAUGAGCUUAUGAGCAACUUAUAAGUAUGUGACUCACUAAUAUGAUUAAAGAUUUCUACUAAAUAGCCAUUAUUUUUAUUACCGUACAAACAUGCAGUAAAUCAGUAACUCAAAAUGCAGACGAGCAAUCGUUCACAGACAUCUGUCAGAAAACUUUUUUUUGAGAAUUAUGACCUCGAUUAAAAAUUAUGUUUCCCAUUUUAUCAGAGAUUCGUGCCACACCAACAGCAUGUGACUUAAGCGACAAAGUGUCCCUCCUAACUGUUACAUAAUGGCUAUGAAGAGCUGAGAUUACCAUCUAAAGAACACAAUGUACUAAGAAAAAAGCAAGAGAUUCCAGAUGUAGACCUAUUGGGUUUUUUUUUGCUUUCACAAUCCAAAGGUGCAGAAGAAGAUGACCAUGGAGCACAUACUGAGACAGAGAUCAUAAUCUGCGUGUGUGUGCGUGUGUGUGUCUGUUCUUCAGGCACUGACCUCUGGCUGAGCUCAGACAUGAUAGUGAGCACAAACACACACUUAGUUCUGAACCCUGAGGCACUUGGGCAAACUGUCCUCUCUCUCUGUUUUAUGAACCCCAAAACACAUAGAGGGCAUAUUAAAACUAUACUUUAAACUAAGAUCACAUGGGCAGAGGAGAGCGAUCUUACAGCACACUCUAUAGUCCACAGGAAGUGUAUGCAAUUCCCACAUUGAGCAAGACGCCCAAAAGUCACCUCUGAUCUUUCCAAAUCAAGAUUUUCUUUGAGUGAGAUAAACAGUUGUAGCUGCCAACAGACAACAAGUGUUGUCUAAUUUUACUGGUAAAUGACAGAGAAAAUAUUGGAGCUGGAUAGUAACUAAAAUUUUCACACAUUUCAAGGUAAUGAAGUAAUUUGAAAAUCUGAAUAGCUGAAGAUCUCUGCGUUCAAAAAUAGUUUUUCAUUCUCUGGCCAAUCACAUGGAGCUUCUUAUAGCUUAUGGUAGUUUUACUCACUUAAACCCUUCCUCAGGGCAAAACAGAUUUGCGAGGUGUGGCUUAUGCUACCUUUAGUUGCUAAACUAGUGCAGGUUUGGUACUUUUUGGUAUUUCAUUUGAGCUUCUGCUACUAGACCACUGUUAACCAAACUAGCCUUUUAUCUUCCAAUACUAUACAACACACACAGACACACUUUAUAUAGAGAAUAUGGAAUUAACCAACACACACCUCCUACCCAUCUUUCUAUCAGCAGCAAUCAUAUGUUGAGAAAAGAUUUCAAUACUUUUGUUUCAUUCCAUUUGAAAGUUUUAAUCACAAUCAUUACCAGAUUAUAGUUUAUUCACUAAAAAAAGAGAUCUGUUGGCAUUUUUAACAUAUAAUAAACACUGAAAGGUGUUUUCAUAGCACCAGACACACUACGUACUUUCUACGGUAUGCAAUAAAUACCAGUUGUAAAAUAGAAAUGUUUCUUUGCUUGAAGUUUCCUGCGAGUCUUAUUUUUCCAAUCCAAAUAUCCGUUCUGCUGACGUGGAAGGUCCCACACAGACACCCUAAAGAUGUACACUUCUUAAAUCCAGUUUAUGCCCAAGUAUCAUCCUUCAGAUAAUCUUACCUACUGCUGCAGUAAUCAUAAAAACUGUCCUUUGCUCAUCCCAGGACUCUUAGUCACGAUUUGCUCAUACUGAACAUCCUGUAAACACACACUGACUUUAUAGUGUACAGUCUCAUAGAGUACUGAUUUAUAAUCUUACUAUCGCAACACCCAGAAGACGAUGGGUUCCCUUUUGUAUCUGGUUUCUCUUAAGGUUCCUUCCUCAUGCCAUCUCAGGGAGUUUUUCCUUGCCACCGUCACCUCUUGUUCAUUAAGAUCUAAAUUCGUAUCCUGAUUUCUGUAAAGCUGCUUUCUGACAAAAGCCCUAUUCGGACAGGAUUGUAUUUAUAUGGGGUCCUGGGGUAAUUUCUUAUUUUACAGGUGCUACUCUGUGAUUCCGUUUGCCUCCGGGUCAGCCAUGUCGGUGUUUUUAUCCAUCCUCCUCUGAGAAAAUUACAGGUCAAACUGCCUACUGUUUAUCGCCAAACUCAGCGAUCGUCUAUUAAUUUUAGUCUCAUCCUGACAAAGUCCAUGAUUUUCUAUGCAGAUCCUUGACUACUGCAACUAUUUAGUCUCGUAGUGCAGGUAUCACUGACCCUCCCCCAGAUAUUAUAAACACUUCCCAUAUCGAGAAACAAAAAAUGUAUCCUUUCUGAUAUUAUGAUUAUUAAUUGUUGCUAGAACUUUAGUUCAACCCAAACUAAAUAACAAUCUCUUCUGUACUCCAGUGCCUCUUCAAAAGCUUGGACGCCAUGUUGUAAAUGGAGCAUGAUCAUAUUACCACAUGGUGCAAACAUCCUGGUUUGGAGAAAAUACAACCUGCUAGAGACUUAGGCCCUGUUUACACUAGUGAGUUUUCGUUUGAAAACGCCGUUUUCAAUCGAAAACGAUCCGUGUCCACACUGGCGUUUCCGCUGUGUUUCAGAAACAAUCUCCGUCCACACUACACGACUGAAUGCGAAUGUCACAUGACCAUUCAUGCACACUGGGCAUGCGCAUACAAAUGUAAACAGGAAGUUGGUUGCUUCACCGGCAGGCACAACAAACCGGCGUCCCACGUCGGGCUUACGCUGCUUGAAAUGGGAUUUGUUGCCGAUUCCUCUAAUCAUAGCUCGCCUCUUACGCAUGUAGCAGCUUCAGUAUUAUAAAAUACAGAAUUUAAUUGCACAAUGGCUGCUAAGAAUGACAACAACGCCAGCAAAGCUUGCGUUCCAGUCUCCGUGAUCAAAUCAGGAAGCAAAUGCUUCUAAGCGAAGGUCUGUUCACACUGAAACGCGAGCCCGGAGUUUUCAAACUUAAACGGGGUCUUCUGCGUUUCCGAAAGAUUCAGUUUUCGAGGGUAGUGCUAGUGAGCCAGAGUAGUGAAAAGUUAUGUGUUUUAAAAUGUAAACGCACUAAUGUACAUAGGCCUUACUCCCCCUGUGGUCAGUUUAUUGCUGUCCGGGUGCAAGAGUUUGAUUAAUGAGAAGUAUAUAAAAAAAAAAAAAAAUUUUAAAAGCAUCAUCAACACCCCCCUGAUAAACUCUUCGAAUACAAAUAGGGCUAUUGUUACAUGCAGUAUGCAAAAAAUGGGGGGACUGAAUAUAGAACAUGCAAUUCAACAAACAAAACAAGGGAGCAGAGUGGUGGUGUUAGAGCACAAUGUGUGUAUCUAUGUUGUUUGGGGGGGGGGGGGGGGGGGGGUGUUUAUAAAUGUCAAGCCACAGCUUUUACAUCUGAGAGCCUGAACUGGGUUCAAAAUUAAAUCUUGUCGCACAAGCUGCUUAAAAGGGUCAUGAGGGGGCACAGCUAAUCAAAAGCAAGACAGGCCUGUCUGUUAAUGUAAUAUGUAGAGAGAAAAAGGUCCAAAACAAACAGGCCUGACCUCUGUUCAGACACAAAGACAGAGUGGUUAAACCAAGCAUUCUGUAGUGUAAACACUGCCAUAUGUUCCUAUAAUAAUUACUUACUCGUGUCUGUAUCUGAUGCACACAGCUGUUAUUAGCAACCUGAAGCUCCAUUUAAAGCAGCACAUGGCAAUGUUAUCUGUAAUUUAUUUAGAUCUAUAGCCCUGGGCUAACAAGGUAUUCAUUGAGUUAAAAUACACACACAGGCACAGAGAGAGAGAGAGAGAGAGAGAGAGAGAGAGAGAGAGAGAGACAUAAAUGUGAUGGAAGAACAAUAUAAUGUUAUUACAAAUGAAACAUGUCAGUAAUAGACAUGUGAUGUAAUAGAUUAGCUGUUCAAAUAAUGUAAGUUUUAAAAUACGCUCUGAUCCCCCCACACACACACACACCUGAGACCUGCACCAACAUGAUGGGGGAAUGAUGAACAGGGGGCUUGUGUUUUGGGUUUUCCCCCCAAGCGCUUGAUGAAGAAGAUCUGUCACUGUUCCAUACCUACACAAAUCCCUUGAUAGAGAUGCCCGGGUCGUGUGAUGGACAGCGUGUCAUAUCUGAUGCUGAAAUCCCUGACGUUCAGACGAAAACACAGGACUACAAUUACAAACUACAAUUACAUCCUACAGAGUGAAUGACAAAGAGGGAAAACUGGCCACAUGCUCAAACGUGUACAGAAAAUCAGCAGUGACGGGACGUGAUUUACAAAACAAAAACAAAAACAAAAUGUACAGUACAGGUCAUGUUAAGCCUAAAACCUGAAAGCCAUACAGUUGCUAUAUAAUAUACAACAGACAAUGCUUCUUGUGAGACUGGUGAUGUGUACUGUAGGCUGUUUGUUACAUGGAACAAGCCUGUGUUUCAGAACGUGGUUGAUUUGGCAAAGCUGCAUGGACAGGAUGCAGGGUUCGCUUUAAAACCCAAGGGAAGAAGAUCAAACAGUGGGUGGGAAGGAUCCUUAAGGAUAUUUAAUCUAAUCUUCUGCAUAUGAGCAAAAAACUAAUUUCUCAAUAACUACAAUGCUGUAGAAGCUGUAAAUCGGCAGAUAUUUGAUAUUUCCAACAGCUUUAAAAGCCCCAUGGCUGGAUGGAAGCUCACAGAUCCUAUUGUACUGGAGGAAUUCCCACUGAUAAAAUCGUUAGUACUGUAGGGCAGUUAGUCAAAGCAGCCCACACUAUUGACAUAAGCUCAACCAAUCACUAAUGACGUCCGCCGACCCACCCUGAUCUCCACAAAACGCAGAUUUAAAAAGUGCUGUCACGGUCGUAUUCACACCAGGAGUGAGCACGUAGUCACACGAGGAGUGAGCUACUGCGACAGUGUCACAGAGGUUCCAGAUUAUUAAUGACAAUUAAUCUGAACUGUACAGUGUCACGUGUGACACUAGAAUUAAAACACUAGGAUGAAAAAGCUGUUACAUGCUAAAUCUAUAACCUGAACGGAUUCUUCUGUUGUCUCUCUGGGGGAUUCCUUAAAGAAUCUGAUGCUGUGGCUGAAUUCUGGCAAGACUUCUGGCAAAGACGGGUUUUACUGCAUUAUAUGAUUCCUUUAUUUUAAGAAACCUUAAAUAUAGUUCACCGCGAUGACCUGGAAAUCUAUAUUUCUUUUAUUUCCUUUUCAGUCUUGUUUAGAUGAUCUUUCUGCGAAGAUCACUUUGGAUAAGGAGCCAGUUUAAAAGCGCUCGUGAAAAUAAGUGUGAUUUCCUCAUCCGGUGAAUCGGAGUUGUUAUCAGAGCUAUGGGAAAUACUGAAAUGGGACACACCUGAAAACGCCACGGAUAUUUUCCAGUCCAUGUUAAUAGCAAAAACAUUAUUCAUACAGAUAGAAGACACAUUUUAAUAGAGAAUAUCUUUUAAAAUGCAUAACUGGAUAAUUAAAAAAAAUAUGACAAACGUCAUAGUGGGGAAAAAACAAAACUAAACACUUUCAUUAAUUAAAUGUUGUCACUGACUACGUGUACAUGGACAGCAGUAAUCUAAUUAUUGACCUUAUUCUGAAUAAGACAAUAAUGUGAUUAAGGUGUUUACAUGAGUCACUUUUAGAAUACUCCUCUCAUGUUCCUGUUUUACAUGUUAUAGAUCAUAGAUCAAUUAACGGCACACGCCAUUACGUCACCACGCCACGCCGUCCGACGUUCCCUCCAGAAUUUCACGUAUCAACAUACAGUUCGUCUUUGUUAUGGUACCAUAUACAGUUUUGGGUGUGUUUAUUUUUUAUUUUACGAAAGCUUCGAGUGCAGUUCAUUAUUUGUCAUGCUGUACGUGGGCUGCGUCUCAAACCGCGUACUUACCUUCUAUAUAGUAGUUGAGAUACAUGUAUUUCAUCUACUAUAUAGUAGGCAAGUACGCGGUUUGGGACGCGGCCGUGCUCUCUUGUUUGCCGUCAAACGGUUGAGCGCUGCCGUAUGUGUACGUGUCCUGUCGCAAAAUGUGGUGAAAACUCCCACACGAUGUUAAUAGUGUGAUUAAGGUGUGUACAUGUCUGUAAUACACGUCGAUAAUGUGACUAAAACAGGAAUACUCCACACGUCUCAAUUCCAUUUGUGUUUACUUCGAGUAUGACUUUAAUCGGAUUAAGGUCAUAAAAAAAAUCGCUGUUUACAUGCUAGUUUCUUAAUCAGAGUAUCGUCUUAAUCGGGUUAAUAUCGGAUUAUUGUUGUCCAUGUAAACGUAGUGACUGUGUAUACACACCUGUAAUCUGAAUACACUCGACACAAUCAAAUAAAACACUUCAAAUAAAGUCCUCAAGAAUAGUCAGGAGUCCAGCAGAUGUGAGUUAUUAAAAGGGUAAAUAGACCGAUUAAAUACAUUCGCUUGCUUGUGGUUUCUCUACAAAUCAUACACACCAGAGUAAAUAUAGUGUUUUCUGUUUCGUGAAUAAAUGCAGAUGUUCUUCAGCACAUGCUCUUUUAUCACACAGAGCCACAUGAGGAGAGAUUGUUUGCAGAGCAUGACUGAAAAAACUCAAAUGGAGCUACUGAUGGACCGUCGCACUACUGAUUAAUCAUGUGCAUUGUAAAUCUUAUGUCUUUAAGUAGUGCUGUUCAAUUCUUGAUAAAAUAGGAGUUGGUUUUUUCUUUUUUUGGGGGCUUAGAACGGCGAUAAUUAUUCUUACGCAUGAUACUCUAACCCGUUUGUAGGGAGCAAUAUUUAGCCUAUAUUUAUUCAAUUCUUACAUUACUUUAGCAGACCAUAAUAGCUACAUGUUCCUGGCGGAUGUUUAUAAAUGACAGUCUACAUUUUGAAUUAGUGAUUUACGGCAUGUUAGUACUGAAGAUGCUGAAAAAAAAAACCCCACUAUGUAGUAUAAAACUUUAAUCACAUUCGGGUGCUAUAGGUGCAGUGCAUCUUCCUAAAUUUCACAAAGGAAAUCAGGAACAUUAACAGCGGGUGAAAUAACUAGUCGUCUUUCUGUUCAUAUGUCAAUAGCAACAUAUAACCCACUUUUUAAGCGACAAUAUAUAACCAAGUUUUAAGCGACACAGCGCAGGAUUCACUCGUUCAUUCAUUCAUCUGUGCAGCUCUCAUUUGUUUAUAAGCAUUCGUUUCGGAUACAUUUGUUCCUUCUCACUAAAAGUAGGUGGUGCAUUUCUUUUUUAACGUUGUUUCUCCCCUUUUAUUCUGUAGACUCGUCGAUCCUCAGGUGUGACUAUGAGAUCGUUUUGUAUGUCUAUACUCAUUGUUCUCUGUGAAUAAGCAGGAAUAGUGGCGCUUUGUUUUAUGAGAUGGAAGUCCAGAUUGUACCAACACCAAAAUGUUCUCGGAUCAAAUUGUGUUGAGAAAUUAAUUUUUUGAUUUUCGCAAUUAUCAGUUCAAUAAACCAUUGACAGGAUCCUAUCUGUGAUAUUUGAACUUUUAGCACGUAAGGCUACAUAAACUUCAUAGCAAGUGCAACAAGGUAUAAAAAUAAACACUGGAAGAACUGAAAAAGGUUCAUAAAUAUCUUCACCACACAGUAAGUUAACAUUAUGAAGUUACAAUGCUGUCUGAAACACAAAUAUCUAUCUCAUGGAUAUUCACUCCCACAAAACACAUGCAGCUAGUGCGCCGAACACACACACAUGCACGAGGCUUUUUUUCUGCAUAGACAGGACAGAUGAUGUAGCAGCUUUCAAAAAAAAAAAAAAAACACACACACACACACAGUCCCACAAUCAUUAACCUCUGACCUCUAUUUCCAAACUGACAGACAUUUGAGAAAUGACUCUCAGGCUUUACAAAGAAUCUCACUCUCUGUCUUUCAUAAAUAUCUAAUGAAAAAAGCUCAAUCACCGGCCAACAUGAGUGUGUAUACAUGUCUCGUGGAUUUAGUGGGAUUGUAAUGAAAGCCUAAUCUUUAUUUCAAACAGAGUGCCUUAUAAAAAAAAUAAUAAAAAAAAAGACCUUAUAAAAAGUAAAACCACACAGAAACCACUCAGGCUUAAUGCAUUUGAUGGCAUCAGCUGAACAGACACACAACAAAGCUCCACUAUACAGGACAUGCCAAAUCUGAUAGUAAACAAUAGAUCUGUGAUUUACUGACGUAAGGAGUGUAAGAACUGUGAACUCCAGUCAGAAGUCAUGUUUAGGAAAGAUGAGCUGGAGAUAUAAAUAGAACCAGACUCAUCUAGACUAUCUUGCGGAGUUGCAUUAGAGGGAAGAUUAAGGAAACACCUUGUGUAUUCUGGCUCGAGGGAAUGCUGCUUGGCAAGGGCGUUGUUAAUGCCUCAGUUUUACAUGGAGACCACACGGGACUGCCAGUCAUUCUAAUCAGGCUGACUGGAAGUGAACACUACCAUUUCUUUGUGUUGCCAUGACCAAAGACAAUGUCUUUCUAUGACAGAUGUUCUAAUCCAUAUUUUGGUAUAUUCUGAUAACACUUACUCUAUUCUGUUUUCAGAAAACCUUCCUUCUUCAUGAAACAUGUUUUGCUAUGCAAAUAAACAUGAUUAAGAUGCAAAUUAGUCUAUGGAGUCAUCUGUCAAUUUGUAGCGUCAUUUUGAGCUUGCACUGGCUCAAAGAGAAAAGAGUUGUCCACACUGGCCCAAACUGUGACCUCGUAAGGUCAAGCUAACAUCUGAAUAAAACUCUUCAGUUGUGGUCAUUCGUACCAUUUGUAAAUAGUUUGGUUUCAUUGUGUAGUUAGGUUCUGAAAAGGAAGGCUAAAUACAGUUGCAAUCGAUUUUCAGUUGAAUUCGGGGAAACCACUUGAAGCAUUCGCUGUGUCGAACUAUUUCGAUUGCUUUUGUUUGAUUUGUUCAUCGCAAACAGCUGAAAGUCUGUCAAUUCUGACAAUUAACCUGAUUUGCAAUGGGGGUUGUAUCAUUUUGAUCGCAACUUUGUAGAAGUGAAUAUAAUCUAUUCAAAUACAAACUGACAAAUGACAAAACAAAUCCAAACAGAGCCGGGGAUACUGUUAACACUUUGCAUAUAUUUUGUUUCCAUCACUGUGAUCUGGAUGAGUGCUAUUGCUAAAACGACUGCCUGACUCACGCGAGGCAUACUCAAAGCACACUUCUGAUUACACUGCGAGGCACGUGUAAAACAUACCUCAGAUACAUCAUCCGUGCAGCAGAGAAUAAAAAGAGUGAAGAGAUGUGGCAAGAGACAGGCUACACAAAGACAUGAGAAACCAUGAUGGUCUAAUAAAUCAAGGAAGAAGAGAGAAAAAGAGAGAAAGAGUCAGUGUUGCAAAGUCGAAGUCAGUAAAGAAGAACAAAUUCACCCUCGACGGAGUGCUCAAUACUUUCAGAAACAGUCAUGCAGAAUCUUCUCUUUCACUCUUUUACCGCUUCCACUUCUAUGUCUGCUUGCUGUUUACUUACAAUAACAGUGACAAAGUAAUUAAAUCCAGGCAUUCUUCCUAAACAAAAAAAUAAUAAUGCAAACGGAUAAUAAAAAGCCUUACAUACUAUAUUUAAGGAUGUAAUUUGUUCCAGAGCAAUAUGUAUAUAAUCCUGGUUCAGGUUUAAUGAUCUAUAUACUUUGUUAAUUGAAAGAAAUCAUUCUGUCUAGGAGGAUCAAAAACAUGCAGCGAUUCUGUUUUACUUAAAGCAAGUCAUUGCUUUCAGGAAAUAACCAGAUUAGUUGUGAUAGGAGGAAACUUGAGGAAACACAAACAGCUGAAACACAGAGCACGUACUUUAAAAACACACAAGACUGAAGUGCGACGAAUCAUCCUGUGAUAUUAAAGCUGAAUGGACUCUGCCAAUACACUUGAUGUACAUCACAUACACACACACACGUGGUUUUCCCCAAACUGUUCCCACAUUGAAAGUUGAAAGCAUGGAAUUGUACAAAGUGUCUUUGUAAUAUGAGGCAGCAUUACAGUUUCCCUUCACUGGAACCAAGAGAUCCAAACCUGUUCCAGCAUGGCAGUGAUUGGUCCUCUGCACAAAGCGAGCUCCAUGAAGACAAGGUUGGCCAAGGCUGUUGUGGAAGAACACGAGUGUCCUGCACAGUGCCCUGUCCUCAACUCAACUGAACACAUUUGGGAUGAACUGGAACACUGACUGAACCCCAGGCCUCCUCACCCGAAAUCAGUGCCUGACCUCACUAAUGCUCUUGUAGCUGAAUGAUCACACAUCCCACACUGAUGGCCACGCUCCAAAAUCUAGUGGAAAGCCUGAUAUGACCUUUCACCUUUAAAGGAUAAAUUUAACCAGGACUCUAUUUAUUCAUUUAAUAUGUUUGUCACUCAGGGCUUUCCCAUGUGUUGAAGAAAUCUAGCUCUCUUUCAUAUCAUAUAUCAUCUCAUACCAUAAUGAACUUUCUUUUACUAUCCGGUGUUACCCAGAUGAGGACGGGUUCCCUUCUGAGUCUGGUUCCUCUCAAGGUUUCUUCCUCAUAUCAUCUUAGGGUGUUUUUCCUCACCACCGUCCCGCUCGCUCAAUUUGUAUAAAUUCACACACUUAAAAUCUGUAUCCCAUGUUUAUACGUUUCUGUAAAGCUCAUUUGAGACAAUGACCAUUGUAAAAAGCGCUAUACAAAUAAAAUUGAAUUGAAUAUCAAUAUUGUGAGAAAUUAUGUCAUGAUACACUUUUCUGAAAUAUUGCUAAUAUCAUUAUUUUUUUUGAAUAUUCAUUUUUUAUUCAAAUAGGUUCAACAACUAGAAAAAGACAAAAAAUAAAAGCGGCCUACUACUUAUUGACUUUCGCGAGAUGAAUGUUUUCAUUUAAUAAGUAAGCACUGUUCAAGUAAGCACACUUCAGUUUGCUGUGAUGCACCUUGAUGCUCUAACUAUAGUGCCUUAUUUAGAAUAUUGAAACCAGUCCUGACAGUUCUACUAAUUAUUGUGUGGGGACGGCAGACAUUUUUUCCUAAUCAGGAAGACACAGUUACAUGGAAACACCAAUGAAACAGAAAAAAUAACGUACACAGCAUUCACCAGAAGUCACCGUAUGGUUAAUCAUAUUAAGAGGUAAAAUAAAGAAGCUAGCCAGACUUAAAUAAUAUCAUUCAUGUGCACUGCGAGGACACAACACCAUGUCUCAUAGCUGAAAUGUUAGCCAACUUAUCACUUUUUGGCCUAGUCAGUUUCCAGGGAAACCUAACCUCAAGACUGGGCAGCACACUGAAGCCUUUUCCUUUGCCUAUUGUGGUAGCUAAUUAAUUUAUGAUUUUAUCCACCCCUGAGUAGGUCCAUAAUGUACCUAGACUGGAGUGCUACUGAUCUUGUUACUGAUAUUGGAUAUGAAUCUGGCUGCUGAAGGAUCUGAACUGGUUUGGGUUCAGUACUGGCAAGAAUGACUUGUCUACAGCCUAUUACAUACACUUAUUAGAUUAGAUCAAAAUGUGAGAACACGGCACUGUUUGAAUUCAACAGCUCUGAGCAGAAAGAGUGACAGAGUGUGAGCGAUGAAAUAAAAAAAUAUAUAUAUAUUUUUUAAAAGACACAUUCCAUGUGACUGUGCUGAAAAAUGAGGGGUUUAACCUAGAGUUAGGAUAUUUUCCCCAUGAGGCAAUAUCUGCUUGAGAAUGGUGAUGUCAACACUGGAACGUUUCCCACAACAUCAAGUAAAGGUGCAGCUGAGGAGCAAGAGGAAGGAACAGGCAAGAGUUCCUGCAGGAAAAGUGAAAGUCAGCAAGCAGCACUGACACUCAAUCACUCCAUCAUUCUGUAUGGAUGAGCAGUUUUAUCCUGUGCCCCAGCCUCUCCCUCCUUCCUCUCUCUUUCUCUCGCUCUGCAGUGGGCCUGGGCUCUUAUCCCAUUCCUCUCCUUUCUCAAGAGUUAAUCAGGGAGUGAGUGUGAAAAACAGAGAAACAGAGUGACUGAGAGAGAGAGAGAGAAAGAGAGAGAGAGAGAGAGAGAGAGAGAGAGAGAGAGAGAGAGAAAGUGAAGAGAGCAAUGUUAACAUUCCCACACUCUCAGUGCCUCAUGUAGUCUGCAUCAGAGGCUGUAUCUUCAAAUCCAGCUGUAGACCUUGAUAAAUCACCCAGGGACAAUACCUGUACCUUAUACCUCACCACACACACACAAAAAAAACAAGUAUAAGGAGGAUCUGCAAAGAUAACUAUUCUUCUCUUUCUUUUUUUCAAAAACCAAAACAUCUACGUGUUAAUCUACAUGUUAAAUGACCCUCAUCACUUGAGACAGAAAAUGGAGGCUGAAUAAAUACAAAUGAUAUAUGGCAUAAUAUAUCUCAUAAUUUGUUGUAGAAUUACAUUUUAUAAAACAUGCGAUAAUGCAAGUAGUUCAUUUCCAGAAGGCACUUAUUUGCUUUUUCUUCUAUGUCAAAAAGUGUUCUUAUUUACUUGUAGUGCACUUUGAUGCCAUUAGGUUAUACCCUAUGUAGUGUGCAUGCAUACUCAACAGAAGGGACAGCAUAGAGAGAAGUCGUUCCCUUUAAAAAAGGGGAACUAGCUAAGGCUAGAAAGCUAGAAAGCCGGUCAUCUUUGUUUUGACCGUAGCAUUGCGAGAUCACAAUAAACCACAAAUAACCAAUAGUAGUGUACUAACAAGCCUAAAGUCAAGCUCUUGUUGAGAGGUUGUAUAUAAUUACAUCCUCCGAGUCUCAGAGAGAAUGCUGUUUGGGAUGCAACCCUAAAUUCUGUGCCUCUUGCACUUGUCAGUUAAAUUAAGUAAUUGUUUAAAAGUGCGCAGCAUAACCGACGUUACAAAAUGUUCUACCACAAGGAGCUUGCAAUGGCAUCUUUCUACCAAAGAGGGCGACCUUAGCAUCCAGCAGCAAGCCUGAAUGCGAUUUAGAUUUUUUUUUUUUAAAAUGCUAUAGUGUUUGACUUCUUCACCCUGCCCGUGAAAUAGUGCUUAAUGAUGACAGCGGGAAUGGGACAGUCCAGAAAAAGGUCUAAAUCAGACAGAGGAGACAGGGAGAAACAAUGACAAACUAACAGGGAGGGAGGUGUGAAAUUGAGGGUGGCAGUCUACUGAAAGCAAUGACAUGAGAUUUAUUUUAUUCCACUGUCAAGGACAAAAGCUCAAUAGGCAUUCAUUUCAAGCCAUUAUUUUAACAACCGAUUCACUUUGCUAUCCUCCUCGGUCUGACUUUUUCUCACUGGCCUCUGACUGUUAACUGGUUUGAAACAUACGUGUUAUAUGUGUUUUAUUUUAGCCUCCACUAUAGCAUGGUAGAGAAUAUAACAACACUGUUAUCUGUCAUGAAAACAUCAGACAGGUAGAUCUGUUCUCCUUACAAAAUUCUACAAACCAUCCCGACAUAAAAACACCACAAGCGCAUGAAAAGCAUUUUAAAAGCUUCAUGCAAUAACAAUGUGGCACUGAAACAUAAUUAUGAGAGGGGGAAAUGACAGGGAUUUAUGCUAACUUCAUUAAUUGUGAGAUAAAAGCAUAAACAGGGAAAAGAAUAAUUGAACAUACACUGCCAGCAAGACUCACUUUACCUCAAACCGUAGAGUAAAUUUUGUGAAAAAGGUACAUAGAGAGAGAGAGAGAGAGAGAGAGAGAGAGAGAGAGAGAGAGACAGUGAGUUACACUACUGACUCCUGAGAGAGUGUUUUGAGAGAGAUAUGAUUAGGGGCUGCAAGAGGACAGAGUGAAUUCCACAAACAGGUGGAAAGAGAGAAACAGAGAGAGAGAGAGAGAGAGAGAGACACACACACACACACACAGACACUUACCCUCAGUAGAGCCCACAGCAGCCACAAAACUCUGCAACUUUCAAUAACUUUCGAUAAACGCUUCACUCUUAAACCAUAAACAAAUCCCUGUACCAGAGCAGCACUCGCAGAAACACACAGUGUGCGAGAGGCUGUAUCGAGUGCACUGAGUAGAUCUACACGCACGCACGCACACGCACACACACACACACACACUCCUAACUUCACUCUGGGAAUGUCAGGGAGUCUGUUAGAUCAUCCUGGACAAGCUCCUCCCCUUUCUCUCUAACCAACUACCCUAACCAAAUCCCUCUCACUCUCCUUCUGCGAGGGGCAAAAUCGCCGCUGCUCUCCUCCCACAGGCCUGCCGGAGCAUGUGAGAGCCUCACUCAGAUCAGACCCUCUCUUUCAUAUGCACAAUCCCAUACACACUCCUGCCCCAUCAGAAAAUACCCCAGGAGCAUCAGAAAAGACAUUUUCAGCCAUUGUAUUUUAGCCAAGCAAUUGUUCAGACUCUUGUUAUGGCUGCUGACUCAUAGCUGGUAGAUACAGUCUGGUCCAUAAGUAUUUGGACAUUGACAUAAGUCAAAGAAAAGGAAUUUUCUUACAUGUCGGAGUCAGUCACCUGACCUCAACCCAACUGAACAUGCUUUUCCUUUACUGAUGAUAAGACUGAAGGUACAAAGACCUACAAACAAGCAGCUACUGAAG